GACCAGAUUCGUGGUCAUGUUAGGCCAAUGAGUGCCUUGGAUCCAGUGAUAGAGCAUGGCGGGGCCUGCUCGGGGUUAGUGCGGAACUGAUCAGCUGCCUAACCUUGGUUUUAAUUAAAACGUGAUAGUCCAAUUCGAUAAUUCUCUUGGAAAGAUUGAAUUACUCCAGUAUUCCAUUGACGCGAGGUAUUGUGAAUCAUUCUAUACAAUACCUUAAUCUUAUAAAUUUCUGUCGAAUCUUUUACUAAAGUAUCUUGAGCCUUUGAACUUCUAUCUUAUUGAUUCAGAAUUGUUAUUGUUUAUUAUUACUUGCUGAGCAUUGUUGCUCACCCUUGCUAUUCCUUUCUAACCAUUUCAGAAAGGCAUAAAGAUGAGAUGAUUGAUUGAGAUUGUGA
This 395-nucleotide long non-coding RNA is filed under the name Daucus carota (carrot). RNAcentral describes it as "long non-coding RNA (DCAR_LNC007498)". Lineage: Eukaryota; Viridiplantae; Streptophyta; Magnoliopsida; Apiales; Apiaceae. The record is from RNAcentral.